This 253-nucleotide ribosomal RNA is filed under the name uncultured bacterium. Its description in RNAcentral is "partial 16S ribosomal RNA". It matches the Rfam family "Bacterial small subunit ribosomal RNA", at positions 524 to 776 of the family's 1533-position model. The record is from RNAcentral.
UACGUAGGGCGCAAGCGUUGUCCGGAAUUAUUGGGCGUAAAGAGCUCGUAGGUGGUUUGUUACGUCUGCUGUGAAAACCUAGGGCUUAACCCUGGGCCUGCAGUGGAUACGGGCAGACUAGAGGUAGGUAGGGGAGAAUGGAAUUCCCGGUGUAGCGGUGAAAUGCGCAGAUAUCGGGAGGAACACCGAUGGCGAAGGCAGGUCUCUGGGCCACUACUGACGCUGAGAAGCGAAAGCAUGGGGAGCGAACAGG